AGCGAACGCUGGCGGCAGGCUUAACACAUGCAAGUCGAACGGGCAUCUUCGGAUGUCAGUGGCCGACGGGUGAGUACCACGUGGGAACGUACCCUUCGGUUCGGAAUAACUCAGGGAAACUUGAGCUAAUACCGGAUACGCUCUUUUGGGGAAAGGUUUACUGCCGAAGGAUCGGACCGCGUCUGAUUAGCUUGCUGGUGUGGUAACGGCCUACCAAGGCGACGAUCAGUAGCUGGUCUGUGAGGAUGAGCAGCCACACUGGGACUGAGACACGGCCCAGACUCCUACGGGAGGCAGCAGUGGGGAAUAUUGGACAAUGGGCGCAAGCCUGAUCCAGCCAUGCCGCGUGAGUGAUGAAGGCCUUAGGGUUGUAAAGCGCAUUUGUCCGGGACGAUAAUGACGGUACCGGAAGAAUAAGCCCCGGCUAACUUCGUG
RNAcentral lists this ribosomal RNA (435 nucleotides) under uncultured bacterium. Its description in RNAcentral is "partial 16S ribosomal RNA". It matches the Rfam family "Bacterial small subunit ribosomal RNA", at positions 29 to 507 of the family's 1533-position model. The record is from RNAcentral.